GGAGAGUUAUCGAAGUGGUCAUAACGAGCUCGACUCGAAAUCGAGUUGCGAGUGAAAUCGCACGAGGGUUCGAAUCCCUCACUCUCCGCCA
RNAcentral lists this transfer RNA (91 nucleotides) under Oscillospiraceae bacterium. RNAcentral describes it as "tRNA-Ser". It matches the Rfam family "tRNA". From Rfam's summary of the family: Transfer RNA (tRNA) molecules are approximately 80 nucleotides in length. RNAcentral also lists the same sequence under 1 other name. Lineage: Bacteria; Bacillati; Bacillota; Clostridia; Eubacteriales; Oscillospiraceae. The record is from RNAcentral.